ACGAGACAGUUUCGAAACACCCGAAGUCAGAGAAUAGUGAUUCGUAAGACAAUAGUGCUUUGGGUUGGAUUUCCAGUGCCUGUAACAUGACAUGCGCGAACGCCGGGUAUUGAUCGUAGAGUCCGUGACGUGUGGGGGACACCAGCCUCCGGCGCGGAAACUCGUGGCGGGUAUAGAAGGUGCGCAUUCAGUCGCCAUUUCUCCCGCUGGUAUGUCAUACCUUCAUUCAUGAUGGUGAUAAUGACUGGCAGAUGCUGGUAUCACUACCACAUGCUAACAUCAUACCAGAGAUGAUGAAAAGUGAAUAGGGCAUGGUGAAGGAGCUGCCUAUGUUGGCCUUCAAGUGGUCGAUUCAGCUCCUCAAUCAAAACAUCCAAGCAAUAGAGCAAGAACACACCAUCAUCUGCACAGCACCAGGAAUGCCUGAAAAUAAAAAAUUAUUAUACCACAAGGGAAAGGCAAAUAAUUGUGAUGUGUUGAUAUGAAUUGCCAUCAGAAGGCUUUGAAGACUCAUUUGACUUCUGUCCUGAUUUCUCACUGCUUGCUUCACUGCCAGUGACAUUUACCUCCAUUUGUUCACUAUUCAUUUUCUCUUCCCUGGAAUCCUUUUCACUGCUC
Molecule: long non-coding RNA, 618 nt
Filed under: Penaeus japonicus
Lineage: Eukaryota; Metazoa; Arthropoda; Malacostraca; Decapoda; Penaeidae
Description: uncharacterized LOC122263490
Source: RNAcentral